GGUUGUCAGAGCAAUCCAUCUGUGACAUCUGUCUUCCCAUUGAGUGCCAGAGUUCAUUCAGCUGACCUGGUUGGCUAAGUGGGAGUCCUCUUCCUCCCUCAUGGCUCUGUGUGCAUCCUUCCUCAAGUGGCACAUUCGAUGGAAGAGGACAACCAUGCCAGAUAGAAUAAGUGUACCAGUCAAGGGUACACAAUAGCUGUGGUCUCCAACUAAGACCUCCAAACAAGCUAAAAGAAAAACCUUUACAAAUUCAAAAAGAACCAUAUAACACAUAAGAUGCCACAUCUACUCAAGCCCAAAGU
Molecule: small nuclear RNA, 302 nt
Filed under: Ophiophagus hannah (king cobra)
Lineage: Eukaryota; Metazoa; Chordata; Lepidosauria; Squamata; Elapidae
Description: 7SK RNA
Rfam family: 7SK RNA
About the family: 7SK was discovered as an abundant small nuclear RNA in the mid-70s but a possible function has only recently been suggested. Two independent studies have found that 7SK RNA binds the CDK9/cyclin T complex (known as elongation factor P-TEFb).
Source: Rfam by way of RNAcentral